GGGCUCCGUGCCACGCAGGGCCAGGUGGGAGUGUGCUCAGGAACAGAGGGGACGGCCCCCGCUGUGGGAGGCGGGCUCUGUGGUGAUGAGAGGAUGGGUGCCGCCUGGCCCCUGCGGGUGGGUGUCGUUGGUUUGUUUGAAUUCCGAGGGCUGGCAGGGAACCAAAGCCACUCCUUUGAAAUUAGCAGGCUCCAUGGCCCCUGAGACAGGUCCAGGGAUCCCAUGUAUGGUGAGGCCGUUCAAGGCCCUGUCUGUCUUCCUUGGGUGUUGAGGCCACAUAUACUCAUCUGAGGCCUUAUGCCACGCUGCCCCUGAGUCCUGGGAAGCAGAAGUGGAGACCCCAGGACACUCUGGUCAGGGAGGCUUUGUUCUGUGGGGAUCUCUGAGCACACAGCGGCCAGCUGCGUGAGGGAGGGCCCUGGGGGAGCUGUGAGUUACAGGUCGGAAGCGCCAUUGCUAUCCCGAAGCGACACAGAUAUGUGGGUGCUCCGAGGAAGGAGAUGACAGAGAACAAAGCUAAGAACCCUGCUUGGCACAUUCCUCACCAGCAACUGAGCUGCCGCUUGGAAUGGGGUUCAGGACCUUGUUGGGGCCCCAGAUUCCUUUGGGAAGCUGAUGAAAGCUCUGCACAUUCUGCGGCUAAAGAUGCGCAUUAGCACAGGGCAAGGCUUCCCAGCAAACAAGAAAAAAUGGGCUAUUAUUGCCACAAAUGGAAACAAAUCCCAAGUGCACAAAUACAACAAAAAGUAACUUUUAGUUCUGCCCCAAGCCGGCGUGGGUGGGAGCGUCUCCACUCUCGGGCUCAGACCACACGCGGGUCCACAGCACUGCCUCCCACACACAGCAUUGCCUGACUCGUCUUUGGACCCGACGGCCUUCCACUCUGCUCUUGUUGGGAAUGGGCAUUAAAGCAGCGGAUUCACCGAGGCAGGCGGUAGCACCGGAGGCGAGUUCUGCAGCUGGCUUUGCAGGAGCAGGGCGAGCUUGUGUCCUGGCGUCGCCGACUCUGCGAGGCUGUCUGAGCAGUUCAUUGCUUUGCUCCCGCUGCGUUCCCAUCCUCAUGAUUCUGUCUGGUGCUUUCUGCACAGCAUAGGUGUGGUCAGCACGGAGGCGGUUACAAAACCAAACCAGUUUCAUAGUGGACCAAGUGAACUUCACCCUGAACAAGAAUUCCACGGUCUUUUCAGGGGUUUCUUGCACGGGGGCAGGCAAGGGUGUGGCCGUCUCGACUCCAGGCCCUGCUUUCCACAUGACAGUGUCCCCAGAGGCCUCCUUGCGCUUCAUCAUUAACCGCGACAGAGCUGGAAGGGCU
Molecule: long non-coding RNA, 1312 nt
Filed under: Homo sapiens (human)
Lineage: Eukaryota; Metazoa; Chordata; Mammalia; Primates; Hominidae
Description: HSALNT0177844
Source: RNAcentral